CGGAGAAUAGAACUAGUGCACAUGAUCCGAGCACAUGGGCACGUGUAAGUUCUUCAGCAAUUUCACCCAGUUUCCGGUGCCAUUUCCCAAAGCUCCCGCUCUCUCCAAUCGCAUCAUCUCUGUAAAACCUUUCCGUCACUCUCUUGCUCUUUUUUCCCGUCUCUUCAAUCUCCGAUCCUUCAAUUCCACCAGGAUAUAGAUUUCUCCCGCUCCCUCACCCCUUUAAAAAUCAAUACAAACCGCAUUGAAUCUCGAAACUCAACUUCUUCGAGGUUCGAUUGUUUGCAGGGUUCUUCUGAUUUGAUAAUUGUGGAUGAGAGAGAAGUAGGGGGACCAAUUCUAAUGAGUAUGGAGAUCGGGACAGAUGCGGCGUUGUUCGACGCUGAAAUUCUGCAGCUGCCGGAGGUGUCUCCUCUGACCCUCAAAUCGAACCCGGCCUUCGUUGAGAAGCUCUUCGAGCUGUGGCUCUCGCUUCCCGACUCUAAUCGGCAGGUGACAUCAUUGGUUAACGAAGUAAAGGCAGGUGGUCCCUUGAGUGUCCCUGGAAACUCUUCCAGUCCACAUGCUUCCUCCAAUAUUUUGCCUUCUAUGUUUCCUGCCGGAAGUGGCCCCCCGUUGUCACCGAGAAGUAUAUCUGGUUCUCCUCGGAUAAUGAAACAGAGGGCUGGUCCCUCAAAUUUAGCUUCACCCCUGAAAGUGGUUAGUGAGCCAGUUAAAGAAUUGAUACCUCAGUUUUACUUUCAAAAUGGGCGUCCACCUCCAAAUGAACUAAAAGAGCAAUGUUUACUUAGAGCUAAUCAGUUUUUCUGUGGCCAGUUGGAUGGGCUUCAGAUGCAUGAAUUUAAAUCAGUUACUAAGGAUGUGUGCAAGCUACCAUCAUUCUUCUCUAUGCCGCUUUUCAGAAAGAUUGAUAUUAAUAGCUCUGGUUUUGUGACAAGGGAUGCAUUUCUUGAUUAUUGGGUUAAUGGAAACAUGUUGACAAUGGAUAUAGCAACCCAAAUAUAUACCAUUUUGAAGCAACCAGAUGUCAAAUUUCUUACCCAGGAUGACUUCAAACCUGUGCUUCAAGAACUUUUGGCAGCUCAUCCAGGGUUGGAGUUCUUGCAGAGCACACCAGAGUUUCAAGAAAGAUAUGCUGAAACUGUAAUAUACAGAAUAUUUUACUACGUAAAUAGAGCUGGGAAUGGUCAUCUUAGCCUCAGGGAGUUGAAACGUGGAAACUUAAUUGAUGCAAUGCAACAUGCAGAUGAAGAAGAGGACAUCAACAAAGUUUGGAGGUACUUCUCUUAUGAACAUUUCUAUGUUAUAUACUGCAAGUUUUGGGAGCUGGAUACGGAUCAUGAUUUUUUGAUCGACAAGGAGAACCUUAUCAGAUAUGGUAACCAUGCGCUUACCUACCGGAUUGUUGAUAGAAUAUUUUCUCAGGUUGCAAGGAAGUUCACUAGUAAGGUUGAGGGUAAGAUGGGGUAUGAAGAUUUUGUGUACUUCAUACUGUCUGAGGAAGAUAAAUCAUCUGAACCUAGUCUUGAGUAUUGGUUCAAAUGCAUUGAUCUGGAUGGAAAUGGGAUUCUCACACGGAAUGAACUGCAAUUCUUUUAUGAGGAGCAGUUGCAUCGAAUGGAAUGCAUGGCCCAGGAGCCUGUGCUCUUUGAGGAUAUAUUGUGCCAAAUAAUUGACAUGAUUGGACCUGAGAAUGAGAGCUAUAUCACACUACGUGACCUGAAAGGGUGUAAACUUUCAGGAAGUGUAUUCAAUAUCCUUUUUAACCUUAAUAAGUUUAUGGCCUUUGAAACUCGUGAUCCAUUUCUCAUUCGCCAGGAACGUGAAAAUCCAACAUUGACAGAAUGGGAUCGCUUUGCACAUAGAGAAUAUAUUAGACUUUCGAUGGAGGAAGAUGUUGAAGAUGCCUCCAAUGGGAGUGCAGAAGUCUGGGAUGAAUCACUUGAGGCUCCUUUCUGAGUCAACCUGAGUUGACUGAAUGAACCUAGCAUGGAUUGGAGGAUCAUAUCCACCUGAGAUUCUGCAUUGAUCUUUGCACCCAAGAUCUCCAAUUCAUUUAGUACAGGUCUUGCCAAGGAAGCUCCGGAUUCUUGUAAAUUGGCCAUCCGUCAAACUGUUGAAUUCAUGUAUCAGUUCUUGAAUGGGCUGUGCAGAUACUAUCGACCACAUCAGGCAGAAAUUGUUUGCGUGGAUUUAUGGAAUGGGUUUUUGAUGCGCCAGAAGUGAGUGUUCAGAUCCCACUGCAUUGAAUUGACAUACAAUGAGAGUUACAAAGGAACCUCCCUUUACACCAUUCAAAACUCUCUCCUGGAGGUGUGAGUAUAUAAUGCCAGAUUGAAGUAAUUCGGAGCAUUUAGUAUAUUUGAUUAUUUUUCCUUUUUCGAUUAUCUUUGUAAGAUAUAAUUUUAUGUCUUCCUUGUCUAUUUAAUCCCUUUUUGAGUUACUGAAUCGUUAUUAUAAUUUAUGUGCUUUUGGAAAUUUUGGCUUAAAUUCUCCUCAUUUGUCAAUUUGAUUCUAGUUUCUGUUCCUUGA
Juglans microcarpa x Juglans regia is the source of this 2532-nucleotide RNA transcript. It is a transcript of the gene named serine/threonine protein phosphatase 2A regulatory subunit B''beta-like, with no coding region annotated. Lineage: Eukaryota; Viridiplantae; Streptophyta; Magnoliopsida; Fagales; Juglandaceae. The record is from RefSeq and is a predicted model, not a curated record. The transcript is spliced from 14 exons.